AUACUUACCUGGCGCAGAGGAUACCACGAUCAACAAGGCGGUUCCUUCAGGACGAGGCUCGAUCCAUUGCACUUCGGUCGAGCUAAACCCUUGCGAAUAUUCCUAAUGUGGAUAUCUCGGGCGUAUUAUAUUUGGUAGUCGGGAACUGCGUUCGCGCUUUCCUGAU
RNAcentral lists this small nuclear RNA (166 nucleotides) under Neodiprion pinetum (white pine sawfly). Its description in RNAcentral is "U1 spliceosomal RNA". It matches the Rfam family "U1 spliceosomal RNA". From Rfam's summary of the family: U1 is a small nuclear RNA (snRNA) component of the spliceosome (involved in pre-mRNA splicing). Its 5' end forms complementary base pairs with the 5' splice junction, thus defining the 5' donor site of an intron. The record is from RNAcentral. Lineage: Eukaryota; Metazoa; Arthropoda; Insecta; Hymenoptera; Diprionidae.